CGAAAGCCUGACGGAGCAAGACCGCGUGGGGGAUGAAGGUUUGUGGAUUGUAAACCCCUUUUGAUUGGGAAGAAUAACUGACGGUACCAAUCGAAUAAGCCUCGGCUAACUCCGUGCCAGCAGCCGCGGUAAUACGGAGGAGGCAAGCGUUAUCCGGAAUUAUUGGGCGUAAAGCGUCCGUAGGUGGUUUAGUAAGUCUGCUGUUAAAGCGCGGGGCUUAACCCUGUAUCGGCAGUGGAAACUACUAGACUAGAGUGUGGUAGGGGUAGAGGGAAUUCCCAGUGUAGCGGUGAAAUGCGUAGAUAUUGGGAAGAACACCGGUGGCGAAGGCGCUCUACUGGGCCAUAACUGACACUGAUGGACGAAAGCUAGGGGAGCG
Molecule: ribosomal RNA, 379 nt
Filed under: Leptolyngbya sp. AECC1314
Lineage: Bacteria; Bacillati; Cyanobacteriota; Cyanophyceae; Leptolyngbyales; Leptolyngbyaceae
Also listed under: 2 other names
Description: bacterial SSU rRNA
Rfam family: Bacterial small subunit ribosomal RNA
Source: RNAcentral